RNAcentral lists this long non-coding RNA (804 nucleotides) under Homo sapiens (human). Its description in RNAcentral is "HSALNT0354142". The record is from RNAcentral. Lineage: Eukaryota; Metazoa; Chordata; Mammalia; Primates; Hominidae.
GCGAUGGAAGCCGUUAGGGCGUGGCGGAACCGGAAGGCGGCCUAGGGACGCACGCAGGCUCGGCUGUCUCUUUAGGCCACGGAGCUGCGUAGAUCCGGAACCCUGGGCGACUGAUCUGUCCCCAUUGGGCGAGACCUACCUAGACAAAGGCCUUAACAUACCGACAAAGGCCUUAAGGGGCCUGGGAGGCAUGAACCUUCAGAGCCCUGAGCUGCCUUGUAAGAAGUCUAGCUAGCAAUGCCACCAUGCUGGAGAGAUGAUGAGGGAAAACUACAUACAGACACAAACAGAGUGAGACACUCAAGAAGCCCUAGUUGUGGAAUACAGCAGUGCUAUGGAGGCUUGACAUAACCAUCUACUUUUCCAGAAACCCACAUUGUCUAAGGUGAUAACAGAGGAAAUACCUGCCUGAUGCUCUCAAUGUCAUCAGUUAAACUGAAGGCACAACAGAAAGGAUUUGUCAAGUCUCACUCUAUCGCCCAGGCUGGAGUGCAGUGGUGUGAUCUCAGCUCACCGGCUCACUGCAACCUCUGCCUCCCGGGUUCAAGUGAUUUUCCUGCCUCAGUCUCCUGAGUAGCUGGGACUACAGGUGUGUGCCACAUGCCCAGCUAAUUUUUGUAUUUUUAGUAGUGACAGGGUUUUACCAUGUUGGCCAUGCUGGUCUCAAACUCCUGACCUCAGGUGAUCCACCCACCUCAGCCUCCCAAAGUGCUGGGAUUACAGGCGUGAGCCACCAUGCCUGGCCGAGUGUGAAAUGUUAAUACAUAUUAUAUAAUAAAUGUAUUAUGUGAUCCCACUGUAAAA